Triticum aestivum (bread wheat) is the source of this 3073-nucleotide long non-coding RNA. RefSeq lists it as uncharacterized. The record is from RefSeq and is a predicted model, not a curated record. Lineage: Eukaryota; Viridiplantae; Streptophyta; Magnoliopsida; Poales; Poaceae. The transcript is spliced from 5 exons.
GAAGUUUUCUCAUAAAGAACAUCUCAUCUACACGGAGAUGAAGUUUGCCGCCGCGUCAAAAUAAGCAAACGCGAAUUGAAAUGCAGUAACUUCCUCCACCAACGGGGGCGCCAAGCUUGCAGCUUACGGAGUCCGCCGCCGGGUCACCGACGCCGAACUCCCCACCGGGCAGUCCCUACAAUCGGUCCCAAUUCUCAGCACAUGUCGUGGCUGACUGCAUUUGCAUCCUUUGCACCUACGGGAUGCCAUUCUGGGGCGCCCGCACGCCCGCACGCCCGCACGCCCGCACGGAAGGUGUUCGAGAAAAUGCAGGCCUGAGAGCGAGAAGGCACUUGGUUUCUGGAUGCGCAAGGAAAACCGUAGGCAUCGCCACAGGUUGAAUUCGCGGGCUAUUGUGACUGCUUUGACCUUCGCUGCGCCCGUGGUGAGCCAACAAGUUCAUAAGCUACUCCGCGCAAGUUCUUAUACGAGGGCAGAAGCCAGGAAGCUCUUUGGUUUCUUGAAUCACCAUCGAGAUAUGAGACUGUAUAGCAUCGCAGAGAAGUUCUGGUAUUGGCCCGCGCAAUUAGAUUGCGCAUUAGCACCGAUCAACUGAAGUCGCAAAGGGGAAAUUUCCAGAGCACUGCUAAGUGCUAACAUGAUGCCGUCAAUCAUCUGAGAAAAAAGAAGGUACUACCGACUGGGGUAGGGCAGCCUGGGUAGGGUGUGUGCUGCUCCAGAGCUUCUAUAGGAAACUAUCGGAAUCCAGUAUGCAGGGUGCUAGACUGGCAUUUUCACUAGUAAAUCUUCUUAUUUUCUAUAUCGACGAUCUCGCCUGUGCGAGUAUGCAAGCCUGUGAAAUCUGCAUGUCAUUUUCAAGGAGAGAGCAACUCAUUGAUCAAAGAGUUCUUGGAUAAUAAUGCAUGGGGCUCAUGGAAGUGCAUUUCUUUCUGCACCACAUGAGAGCUGCUGUGAAGAUGUGUUGAACUAAAUCUGGAGGUGCCGCGUUGAUCGCACACUGCUAGCGGUGACUGAAGCCCGGCAAAGGUCCCUUGGCCUCCUUUCUCAAGGUGCCUAAACUCCGGUGUGCCUCACUUUGGCAUCAUUUUGGCAUCCGGGACCGGGAGAGUCAUGGUUCAAGCUAUCAGAGGGUGGUGGUCGUGGAACAGCUCGGCAGCUUCUUACAGCUUCGCGCAGGCUCCCAGGCACCACAUUGCAAGCUUCAACAAUUGAACUGCUUCCUCUUGGUGUAAGACCAUGUCCUCACUAUGGUUGUCAAUCAAAUCGAUAAACUGAUUAUCUUCAGCCUUUUUCUGUAACAAUUUGAUGAGCUGAACACUCUCCUCGGGAAGAGAUAUGUCAAUAUUUUUUCUUCCGCAAAUUACUUCCAUGACAACAACUCCAAAGCUGUAGACAUCAACUUUUUCAGUGAUUUGGGACGUUAGCCAUUCAGGUGCCAGAUACCCAGAGGCAGAAGUUGAGGGGCUAAGCUGCACCUUGAGGUAAGCAGAGGAGUUGUAGUGAACAAUUUCAGGUUGUAUUGAUUGCAAGGAGAAGACCCUUGUCACCCACAGACACGUUCCAUCGGAAUCAUUCUGGCCAUACCUGAACAUCACGGCCCUGCAGGAGCAGUUCUUCAAGCAAGCUUGCUUACAGUCUUCUCCGUUUGUUGCAUUCACAACGAUGUGGCUGGCGUCAAAAUAAGAAACGUCUGUAAGAGUCAACAACUGAUGGUGUUGCAUUUCCUGACAAGAGAUUGGAGUCAGUGAUGCACAGCCAAGAUUUGGCUUCCGCUCAUCGGCCGGCUUGAAGUAGCUUGAACUAGAAUUAUUCUGAAGCGGACAAACACAUUGCCCCCCUGUGCAUAUACCAUACUCUCCACAUACUGUUGGAAAGGCACAGUCAUCAGGGAAUAGUUUGAUUACAUCAGACACUACAGCCCAUUUUGCAUCUGCAUUAGACCAUUCGUAGAGCCUCAGGUGCCCAUCUGACUCCAAUCUCAUGUACUGGGUAGAGUUAGCUGCUGGUAAUUGGAUACUCGUGUCUGAUUCAUCUGGUUGCUUGGACUGCACAGAGAUGCUGAGGCUGCCAUUCGUGAAGACGUACUUGCUACGAGCCUCAUACCUUCCAGAAGUGACUGCCCAGGGACCAAUGCAUCAGUAGGGUGAGCAAAUGACUGCCACACUGUUGCAUUUUUCUGAUCAAACAACACCAAAUUACCAAUCUCGGUGAUCAUCAUGCCUGUAAGAAAAAGCAGCUCUUGGCUUACGACUUUAGGAGAGAAAAGGAGCAAGAAAACGGGGGCUAGUGCGGGGAUGAGCUUUCAGUGGAGAAAAGAUCUCACCCGGUUAUGCAGAAUCAGUGAAGCAGAUGUGAGCUCCGUGGAAAGUACUACUAGCAGUCAACAAGUCUUCGUCUUGCUAUUUCAGCAUCCCAAGUUCACAACCAUGCCCAUACCACGCGGUGUUUUGGGCGCUUUGUGUUUGACCGUCGCCGAAAGGUGACUUAUUGGCUGCUCCUGCAGGCCCAAGUCAUUGUCAGGUUGGUUGGAUGCUUGUCUCGUGGUUUAGAGCUAUUUUAAAGAAGAAAAUGUGUAGAUGCCACAGAAAUUACUACUAGAGUAUUCUCAGAGUAAUGCAGUCCUCAUGCUACUUUCCUUGUGCACAUCGUGAAAGAUGGGUCACGAUGAUUACUUAGGCAAACUAAUCAAGCAAGCAUGGGUAUAUGCACGGCAACUACUAGGUUGGAUUAGUCCGACUACUUCCAAAUGAUCAUUCGUUGGUUGGUUGGUUGGCUACUUCUGUCGGGCCAGGGCAUUGGCAUGGUAGGUGAAGAUCCGCGCCUGACUGCGUCAACCGGUUGCUUUUCCGUGUGCUCGUACCGUGGUCUUGAGCAUACUGCUUUUCUCCUCUCCUUCCCUGCUAGUAUAUGAAUAGGAAGGACAACACGUGUUGACUCAGCGAACGAAAUUAUGGAAGUGUAUGGUGGGGGCAUCCUCUUGCUACUAUGGUUAGAGCAACUCUAGCAGAGUCUUCAUACUGUGAUCGUCAUAAUAAAUAUAGAGCGUUGUAUGAAUUCCCUUCAAAAUUAAACA